RNAcentral lists this long non-coding RNA (202 nucleotides) under Elaeis guineensis (African oil palm). Its description in RNAcentral is "long non-coding RNA (EGUI_LNC027054)". Lineage: Eukaryota; Viridiplantae; Streptophyta; Magnoliopsida; Arecales; Arecaceae. The record is from RNAcentral.
GUUGUGAUUGCGUUUGCCUGCUUACGCUUCUUUGUUCCUUACCUUAGUGACCUCAUUUCUCCCAUAAGCCUAUUGAGAAGACUGUCCGUCAAUCAUGGGUAAAGAAGCUCGUGCUUAUCCAACUAAUUCCUUCCCAAGGGGAGGAAAAGGCCACCUCUGGGUUAAGAGAAUCUCACACUUUCCCAUCUCGUUCUGCCACUAC